AUGUGUUCCGAGGGUGACAAAGGAAGCUCAGAUCCUCUGGAUUCCUGGCAAGACCCUCCACCUCGCUCUCCCCCAUGCUGGCCCUCACAGCCUCCUCUUCGCUCUUUGCUUGGAGAAUCUCAGGAUCCAUCUCACCAUUUCCCUUGCAUCACAGAUUGAGUUUCCUGAGCAGGAGAUUUGAACACAGAUGGUUCACUGGGGAGUUCUCUCAGCAUCGCCAGCUGUCGGGGGAAUGGAAGGCAGCAGAAUGGGCCCGGGCAGAGUAGUGGCAGCAGAGGCCCGCAAAGAUCCUGUAAUGCCAGGAAGAGUUCCGAAACUUUGAUGAUUUUUUAGAGUGGCUGUGAGCAAGAUAUAAAUGGAAAUACAGCCCAGGUGGUUGUGGACAGCCAAAAUAGAACUUCUAGAAGUGAAGUUGACAAUGACAAGGGCAGACAGAUGUAGAGUUAACCUGGUCUUGGAGGACAUUGGUGAGCAACUCAAUCAAAUUAAUCCUGAAACCAACCCUACCUCUAGCACUCGUCAUAAUCUAAAGGCUGAAUACUUUCCUAUUCAGCUUGGAGAGUACUUCUUUCAUCUCCUGGCCCUGUAUCUUGAACAGUCAAAUAGAAUUAUAAGAUGCACAUUAAAGUUGGGAAUAAGAACAUCAUUUUCUGCUUUUGGUUUAUUCAUAUCAGAAAAAGCAGAGGUCCCAAGCCAUCUAAUGUCACUGAUGCAGUAUCCAGAGAGUCUCUCAUUUCAAUAACUUCCUAUAAGGAAGACUGGUUUGAUUUUCAAGGUCCCUGGACUACAGAGAACGUGAGCUCUUGCUGCAAGUCACCUGCCUCUAAGAGACAUAAAUAACCACAACUGGCAGAAAAUAAAGCAGGCAAUCUCUGGAAAUGCCUGGAUAAAUUAAAAUGAAAUACAACCCAAGACUCCAGCACUGUAGACUCCGUUGAAUGCUGUGUUGCCAGUCAGCAGCAACCAUUUGGAAAAUGACAGCCUCUACUCAC
This 992-nucleotide long non-coding RNA is filed under the name Equus caballus (horse). Its description in RNAcentral is "lncRNA (ENSECAG00000045580.1)". Lineage: Eukaryota; Metazoa; Chordata; Mammalia; Perissodactyla; Equidae. The record is from RNAcentral.